GUGUAUAUAGUGUAAUGGUUAGCACAAUUGACUGUGACUCAAUUAGUAUGGGUUCAAAUCCCGUUAUUCACCCCA
This 75-nucleotide transfer RNA is filed under the name bacterium. RNAcentral's name for it is "tRNA-His". It matches the Rfam family "tRNA". Rfam says of the family: Transfer RNA (tRNA) molecules are approximately 80 nucleotides in length. The record is from RNAcentral.